This 497-nucleotide ribosomal RNA is filed under the name uncultured bacterium. Its description in RNAcentral is "partial 16S ribosomal RNA". It matches the Rfam family "Bacterial small subunit ribosomal RNA", at positions 28 to 507 of the family's 1533-position model. The record is from RNAcentral.
GAUGAACGCUGGCGGCGUGCCUAAUACAUGCAAGUCGAGCGAACGGACGAGAAGCUUGCUUUUCUGAUGUUAGCGGCGGACGGGUAAGUAACACGUGGAUAACCUACCUAUAAGACUGGGAUAACUUCGGGAAACCGGAGCUAAUACCGGAUAAUAUUUUGAACCGCAUGGUUCAAAAGUGAAAGACGGUCUUGCUGUCACUUAUAGAUGGAUCCGCGCUGCAUUAGCUAGUUAGUAAGGUAACGGCUUACCAAGGCAACGAUGCAUAGCCGACCUGAGAGGGUGAUCGGCCACACUGGAACUGAGACACGGUCCAGACUCCUACGGGAGGCAGCAGUAGGGAAUCUUCCGCAAUGGGCGAAAGCCUGACGGAGCAACGCCGCGUGAGUGAUGAAGGUCUUCGGAUCGUAAAACUCUGUUAUUAGGGAAGAACAUAUGUGUAAGUAACUGUGCACAUCUUGACGGUACCUAAUCAGAAAGCCACGGCUAACUACGCG